This is a long non-coding RNA of Dermochelys coriacea (leatherback sea turtle), 316 nucleotides long. RefSeq lists it as uncharacterized. The transcript has 2 exons. NCBI's taxonomy places the organism in Eukaryota, Metazoa, Chordata, Testudines, Dermochelyidae. The record is from RefSeq and is a predicted model, not a curated record.
UAAUCCAGAUGUGAAUUGGUAAAUGAUAGCUGCAUCUUUCAACAUUAUUACUGUGUUUGCAAUGUAGCAUAUAGGAGAAAGACCAAAUGGAAAAUGAGAAAGGAAGAGACAUGGACACAAACCAACAUUUCUGCAUAUAUUUUUGUGCAAUUUUUUAUAUCCUACAUUGGUAGGAAACAGAAAAGAUCCCAAAAGUUUCACUUUCUGCCAUCUAUGAAGAACUGGUUUAUAGAUGAAGAAAUAAGGGUUUUGUUUUUUUUUAAAUUUGUACACUCCUUGAUUAGACACAAUAGUGUGAAAUAAACAAAAAAUUUCU